AUUGAACGCUGGCGGCAGGCCUAACACAUGCAAGUCGAACGGUAACAGGAAGCAGCUUGCUGCUUUGCUGACGAGUGGCGGACGGGUGAGUAAUGUCUGGGAAACUGCCUGAUGGGGGGGGAUAACUACUGGAAACGGUAGCUAAUACCGCAUAACGUCGCAAGACCAAAGAGGGGGACCUUCGGGCCUCUUGCCAUCGGAUGUGCCCAGAUGGGAUUAGCUAGUAGGUGGGGUAACGGCUCACCUAGGCGACGAUCCCUAGCUGGUCUGAGAGGAUGACCAGCCACACUGGAACUGAGACACGGUCCAGACUCCUACGGGAGGCAGCAGUGGGGAAUAUUGCACAAUGGGCGCAAGCCUGAUGCAGCCAUGCCGCGUGUAUGAAGAAGGCCUUCGGGUUGUAAAGUACUUUCAGCGGGGAGGAAGGGAGUAAAGUUAAUACCUUUGCUCAUUGACGUUACCCGCAGAAGAAGCACCGGCUAACUCCGUG
Molecule: ribosomal RNA, 490 nt
Filed under: uncultured bacterium
Lineage: Bacteria
Description: partial 16S ribosomal RNA
Rfam family: Bacterial small subunit ribosomal RNA
Source: RNAcentral